Molecule: non-coding RNA, 99 nt
Organism: Tephrocybe rancida
Lineage: Eukaryota; Fungi; Basidiomycota; Agaricomycetes; Agaricales; Lyophyllaceae
Source: the annotation of a GenBank genome assembly
GCAUUAAUGGGGUAGUGGUAACCUGGGUCGUUGCCAUCCUCAACAAUGAGCAAAUUCAUUUCACUCGACCCGCCGGGGGUUCGAUUCCCUCUUAAUGCA